This 35-nucleotide ribosomal RNA is filed under the name Nuytsia floribunda. Its description in RNAcentral is "partial 26S ribosomal RNA". The record is from RNAcentral. Lineage: Eukaryota; Viridiplantae; Streptophyta; Magnoliopsida; Santalales; Loranthaceae.
GGGCUACCCGCUGAAUUUAAGCAUAUCAAUAAGCG